Molecule: ribosomal RNA, 525 nt
Filed under: uncultured bacterium
Lineage: Bacteria
Description: bacterial SSU rRNA
Rfam family: Bacterial small subunit ribosomal RNA
Source: RNAcentral
ACAUCCAGCGAACUUGGCAGAGAUGCCUUGGUGUCUUCGGGAACGCUGAGACAGGUGCUGCAUGGCUGUCGUCAGCUCGUGUUGUGAAAUGUUGGGUUAAGUCCCGNAACGAGCGCAACCCUUAUCCUUUGUUGCCAGCGAUUCGGUCGGGAACUCAAAGGAGACUGCCGGUGAUAAACCGGAGGAAGGUGGGGAUGACGUCAAGUCAUCAUGGCCCUUACGAGUAGGGCUACACACGUGCUACAAUGGCGCAUACAAAGAGAAGCGACCUCGCGAGAGCAAGCGGACCUCAUAAAGUGCGUCGUAGUCCGGAUCGGAGUCUGCAACUCGACUCCGUGAAGUCGGAAUCGCUAGUAAUCGUGGAUCAGAAUGCCACGGUGAAUACGUUCCCGGGCCUUGUACACACCGCCCGUCACACCAUGGGAGUGGGUUGCAAAAGAAGUAGGUAGCUUAACCUUCGGGAGGGCGCUUACCACUUUGUGAUUCAUGACUGGGGUGAAGUCGUAACAAGGUAAGCGUAGUGCU